GACGAACGCUGGCGGCGUGCUUAACACAUGCAAGUCGAACGGAAAGGCCCUGCUUUUGUGGGGUGCUCGAGUGGCGAAAGGGUUAGUAACACGUGAGUAACCUGCCCUUGACUUUGGGAUAACUUCAGGAAACUGGGGCUAAUACCGGAUAUGAGCUCCUGCCGCAUGGUGGGGGUUGGAAAGUUUCGGCGGUUGGGGAUGGACUCGCGGCUUAUCAGCUUGUUGGUGGGGUAGUGGCUUACCAAUGCUUUGACGGGUAGCCGGCCUGAGAGGGUGACCGGCCACAUUGGGACUGAUAUACGACCCAGACUCCUACGGGAGGCAGCAGUGGGGAAUUUUGCACAAUGGGCGGAAGCCUGAUGAAGCAACGCCGCGUGCGGGAUGACGGCCUUCGGGUUGUAAACCGCGUUCGCCUGUGACGAAGCGUGAGUAACGGUAAUGGGUAAAGAAGCACCGGCUAACUACGUG
Molecule: ribosomal RNA, 468 nt
Filed under: uncultured bacterium
Lineage: Bacteria
Description: partial 16S ribosomal RNA
Rfam family: Bacterial small subunit ribosomal RNA
Source: RNAcentral